This 552-nucleotide ribosomal RNA is filed under the name uncultured bacterium. RNAcentral describes it as "partial 16S ribosomal RNA". It matches the Rfam family "Bacterial small subunit ribosomal RNA", at positions 355 to 900 of the family's 1533-position model. The record is from RNAcentral.
UAGGGAAUCUUCCACAAUGGACGCAAGUCUGAUGGAGCAACGCCGCGUGAGUGAAGAAGGUUUUCGGACCGUAAAGCUCUGUUGUUGGUGAAGAAGGAUAGAGGUAGUAACUGGCCUUUAUUUGACGGUAAUCAACCAGAAAGUCACGGCUAACUACGUGCCAGCAGCCGCGGUAAUACGUAGGUGGCAAGCGUUGUCCGGAUUUAUUGGGCGUAAAGCGAGCGCAGGCGGAAGAAUAAGUCUGAUGUGAAAGCCCUCGGCUUAACCGAGGAAUUGCAUCGGAAACUGUUUUCUUGAGUGCAGAAGAGGAGAGUAGAACUCCAUGUGUAGCGGUGGAAUGCGUAGAUAUAUGGAAGAAUACCAGUGGCGAAGGCGGCUCUCUGGUCUGCAACUGACGCUGAGGCUCGAAAGCAUGGUAGCGAACAGGAUUAGAUACCCUGGUAGUCCAUGCCGUAAACGAUGAGUGCUAAGUGUUGGGAGGCUUCCGCCUCUCAGUGCUGCAGCUAACGCAUUAAGCACUCCGCCUGGGGAGUACGACCGCAAGGUUGAAAC